AUACCGUACCCGUACCGUAAACCGACACAGGUGGAUGAGGAGAGAAUCCUAAGGCCGGCGGAAGAAGCAUUGUCAAGGAACUCGGCAAAAUGGCCCCGUAACUUAGGGAUAAGGGGUGCCUGGGAAACCAGGCCGCAGAGAAUAGGCUCAAGCAACUGUUUAGCAAAAACACAGGUCUAUGCGAAACCGAAAGGUGAGGUAUAUGGGCUGACGCCUGCCCGGUGCUGGAAGGUUAAGAGGAGAGGUUAGCGCAAGCGAAGCUUUGAAUUUAAGCCCCAGUAAACGGCGGCCGUAACUAUAACGGUCCUAAGGUAGCGAAAUUCCUUGUCGGGUAAGUUCCGACCCGCACGAAAGGCGUAAUGAUUUGAGCGCUGUCUCGACAAUGCAUCCGGUGAAAUUGAAGUACCAGUGAAGAUGCUGGUUACCUGCGCCAGGACGGAAAGACCCCAUGGAGCUUUACUCCAGUCUGGUACUGGGACUCGGUAUUGCAUGUACAGGAUAGGUGGGAGGCUAGGAGAUGGUAACGCCAGUUGCCAUGGAGCCGCUGUUGGGAUACCACCCUUGCAGUAUUGGGUUUCUAACCAGCCGCCGUGACCCGGCGGUGGGACAAUGCCAGACGGGGAGUUUGACUGGGGCGGUCGCCUCCGAAAGGGUAUCGGAGGCGCCCAAAGGUUCCCUCAGAAUGGACGGAAACCAUUCGAAGAGUGCAAAGGCAGAAGGGAGCUUGACUGCGACACCGACGGGUGGAGCAGGUACGAAAGUAGGGCUUAGUGAUCCGGUGGUAUUAAGUGGGAAUGCCAUCGCUCAACGGAUAAAAGCUACCCUGGGGAUAACAGGCUUAUCACUCCCAAGAGUUCACAUCGACGGAGUGGUUUGGCACCUCGAUGUCGGCUCAUCGCAUCCUGGGGCUGUAGUAGGUCCCAAGGGUUGGGCUGUUCGCCCAUUAAAGCGGUACGCGAGCUGGGUUCAGAACGUCGUGAGACAGUUCGGUCCCUAUCCGGCGUGGGCGUAGGAUAUCUGAGAGGAGCUGUCCUUAGUACGAGAGGACCGGGAUGGACGGGCCGCUGGUGCAUCGGUUAGACUGCCAAGUCUACGGCCGAGUAGCCAAGCCCGGAAGGGAUAAACGCUGAAGGCAUCUAAGCGUGAAGCCCCCCUUAAGAUGAGAUAUCCCAUUCGAAAGAAGUAAACCCCCUUGAAGACGACGAGGUAGAUAGGGCAGAGGUGGAAGUGCAGCAAUGCAUGGAGCUGACUGUUACUAAUCGGGUGAGGGCUUGACCAA
This 1279-nucleotide ribosomal RNA is filed under the name Blautia obeum. Its description in RNAcentral is "bacterial LSU rRNA". It matches the Rfam family "Bacterial large subunit ribosomal RNA", at positions 1633 to 2925 of the family's 2925-position model. The record is from RNAcentral. Lineage: Bacteria; Bacillati; Bacillota; Clostridia; Lachnospirales; Lachnospiraceae.